GGGGCAGCAUGAACUUAGCUUGCUAAGUUUGAUGGCGACCGGCGCACGGGUGAGUAACACGUAUCCAACCUGCCGAUGACUCGGGGAUAGCCUUUCGAAAGAAAGAUUAAUACCCGAUGGCAUAGUUCUUCCGCAUGGUGGAACUAUUAAAGGAUUUCGGUCAUCGAUGGGGAUGCGUUCCAUUAGGUUGUUGGCGGGGUAACGGCCCACCAAGCCUUCGAUGGAUAGGGGUUCUGAGAGGAAGGUCCCCCACAUUGGAACUGAGACACGGUCCAAACUCCUACGGGAGGCAGCAGUGAGGAAUAUUGGUCAAUGGACGAGAGUCUGAACCAGCCAAGUAGCGUGAAGGAUGACUGCCCUAUGGGUUGUAAACUUCUUUUAUACGGGAAUAAAGUGAGGCACGUGUGCCUUUUUGUAUGUACCGUAUGAAUAAGGAUCGGCUAACUCCGUGCCAGCAGCCGCGGUAAUACGGAGGAUCCGAGCGUUAUCCGGAUUUAUUGGGUUUAAAGGGAGCGUAGGCGGACGCUUAAGUCAGUUGUGAAAGUUUGCGGCUCAACCGUAAAAUUGCAGUUGAUACUGGGUGUCUUGAGUACAGUAGAGGCAGGCGGAAUUCGUGGUGUAGCGGUGAAAUGCUUAGAUAUCACGAAGAACUCCGAUUGCGAAGGCAGCCUGCUGGACUG
Molecule: ribosomal RNA, 680 nt
Filed under: uncultured Bacteroidales bacterium
Lineage: Bacteria; Pseudomonadati; Bacteroidota; Bacteroidia; Bacteroidales
Description: bacterial SSU rRNA
Rfam family: Bacterial small subunit ribosomal RNA
Source: RNAcentral